GAAGAUGAUUUGAGGGUGGAUGAAGCCAAGGUCGAUGAGAGCAAACAAAUGGAUUUCGCUAAGGUAGAGAAGCGUGUACGAACAACUGGUGGGGGGAGCACAGGGACUGUUAGGAAUUUGCGUAUUCGGGAGGAUACAGCAAAAUAUCUUUUGAAUCUUGAUGUUAACUCUGCUCAUUAUGACCCCAAGACCCGGUCAAUGCGUGAGGAUCCUCUCCCAGAUGCAGAUCCAAAUGAGAAGUUUUAUGGGGGAGAUAAUCAAUACAGAAAUAGUGGUCAAGCUUUGGAGUUCAAGCAGUUGAACAUCCAUGCUUGGGAGGCAUUUGACAAGGGCCAAGAUAUUCACAUGCAGGCAGCUCCAUCCCAAGCAGAGUUGCUAUACAAGAAUUAUAAGGUCAUAAAGGAGAAACUAAAGACCCAAACAAAGGACAUGAUUAUGGAGAAGUAUGGCAAUGCUGCCAGUGGAGAAGAACUCCCAAAAGAGCUCUUACUGGGACAAACUGAACGACAAGUUGAAUAUGAUCGUGCUGGACGGAUAAUAAAGGGGCAGGAGACUGUGCUUCCUAAAAGCAAGUAUGAAGAAGAUAUUUACAUUAACAAUCACACAAGCGUGUGGGGUUCAUGGUGGAA
RNAcentral lists this unclassified non-coding RNA (629 nucleotides) under Hevea brasiliensis (rubber tree). The record is from RNAcentral. Lineage: Eukaryota; Viridiplantae; Streptophyta; Magnoliopsida; Malpighiales; Euphorbiaceae.